AUACGGAGGAUCCAAGCGUUAUCCGGAAUCAUUGGGUUUAAAGGGUCCGUAGGCGGGCAAUUAAGUCAGGGGUGAAAGUUUGCGGCUCAACCGUAAAAUUGCCUUUGAUACUGGUUGUCUUGAAUUACUGUGAAGUGAUUAGAAUAUGUAGUGUAGCGGUGAAAUGCAUAGAUAUUACAUAGAAUACCAAUUGCGAAGGCAGAUCACUAACAGUAUAUUGACGCUGAUGGACGAAAGCGUGGGGAGCGAACAGGAUUAGAAACCCCAGUAGUCC
This 274-nucleotide ribosomal RNA is filed under the name uncultured bacterium. RNAcentral describes it as "partial 16S ribosomal RNA". It matches the Rfam family "Bacterial small subunit ribosomal RNA", at positions 523 to 796 of the family's 1533-position model. The record is from RNAcentral.